UUCAGUGUAGCUCUCAGUGGUAGAGCAUUUAUCUGGCAUAUACACGGCUCUGGGUUUGAUCCCUAGUGCUGAAA
Molecule: transfer RNA, 74 nt
Filed under: Heterocephalus glaber (naked mole-rat)
Lineage: Eukaryota; Metazoa; Chordata; Mammalia; Rodentia; Bathyergidae
Rfam family: tRNA
About the family: Transfer RNA (tRNA) molecules are approximately 80 nucleotides in length.
Source: Rfam by way of RNAcentral